This 1531-nucleotide long non-coding RNA is filed under the name Fukomys damarensis (Damara mole-rat). RNAcentral describes it as "lncRNA (ENSFDAG00000031020.1)". The record is from RNAcentral. Lineage: Eukaryota; Metazoa; Chordata; Mammalia; Rodentia; Bathyergidae.
CAUAUUUAAUUCUUUUGUACUGUCUUCAAAUUCUCACAUGCAAUUUCUAUACCGAUUAGUUGCUUGUUUAUUUGAAUUGAUUUAGGAAUAACUCACAGGGAGUGAGUUUUAUAUCAAAAUGACUAGAACAUGAAUUUUGGAGUCUGCCUGACGAGUUAAAGUUGCAGACCAAAAAGUUACGAGUCUUUGUACUCGUAAGUUGUAUAUCCCCUUGAAGCUACCAUGUUCAUGCAGAAUGGAGAUAUUGUAUCCAUCUCUCUCUCUUUUUUUUUUUUUGGUAACUGGAAUUGAACUCAGGACCUCGCACUUGCCAGGUAGGUGCAGCGCCAUAUAGCUAAAUCCCCAGACCCUGUGUUCACCUUUUCUUAAAGGACUACUUGAGGAAUUAGAUGUUUAAAUUCUGGUAUCAAGACAGGGGUUGGACUCUUAUCUCUGCUUCUUAGCAUAGCAUCAUGGGCAAAUAAGUUAAACUUUUCUGAGUCUCAUUUCCCUCAUCUGUAAGUUAGGGUCCAUAAUAGGAUUUAUCUCAUGGAGUUGUUCGCAUUACGCAAAAUAAUGCAUGGAAGACUUAGAAUGCUACUUAAUACUUAGUAAGCACUUAAUUAAUGUUAAGUAUUACUAUAGAUAAUGUUCACUUAGUGUACCUGAUGCCAAGAGGUUCAAAUAAACUUUAAUUCUUUCUCUUGCUGGUCCCCACCUUUAAAAUUGUUGCCAUGGUAGAUGAACUUUGUAGAUCUAUUGGCUAAAAGGAUUUAACAUAGAACUUUCAUUACAUGAAUGGUGUUUGACUGUUUUACUCAUCUUACAUGACACCUUUGGGAGGAAAAACUCUUGGGAAGAUAACAAUUUAUCUGAAUUUAAAAAGGAUUAUGUUCUCCAAAUGUGGGCUGGAGACUUUUAUUGAACACAGCCAUUUUGUGUCAUGUUGAUUUCCUCAGGAUAUGAAUCAGAGAGAAAGAACUGAAGACUUGUCCCAGGAAGAAAAGGGAGGACUGGCAGCAGAUUUUUCACUGGUUUGUCUUUGGAAAAGAAUGAGAAGAGCUGGUAAACUCUCCUUCCUCACUUCUGCUCCUUGGGUGAGUGUAAUUUAUAUUUCUAACCAUUUUGCAAAUGUCAUUAAAGAGUAUUUCCCAAGUUUCUGUUGAGGAAGAGCCUUGUUUGAUCUUUGCAAUGCUGGCACUCUUUUAGAAUUAACCAUGGAAAAAUUUGAUGACACUUCCAUGCUUCUUGUAAAAUUUAUCUUUGGGGUAAUUUUACAGUGUGUGUUUUCCCCUUGAAUGUUUUAAAGAUUUGGAUUUCCGUCUCUUUGCAGAACAUUGUACCAGCUGUGUCUCAUUUGCUUUGCAAGGGCAUUUGAAGAAAUUGCUAUUUUGGAAACUGCUUAACGUAUGAGAUAAUUGUUUUAAGCACUUUGCAGGUUGCAUAGUGCUUUCCCAUUAUUUUAUCCAUUCAUUUUUCCUAGACACUUAGGAAAUACUAUUUACAUUUUUCAGAAAGGAAAAUAGAGGUACUGAAGAAAGAACAGAAAGCA